ACCCAGCUGACGAGUCCCGAAUAGGACGAAACGUGCAUCCUGGAU
RNAcentral lists this non-coding RNA (45 nucleotides) under Trichobilharzia regenti. Lineage: Eukaryota; Metazoa; Platyhelminthes; Trematoda; Strigeidida; Schistosomatidae. The record is from RNAcentral.